This 339-nucleotide unclassified non-coding RNA is filed under the name soil metagenome. Its description in RNAcentral is "partial contains 5.8S ribosomal RNA, internal transcribed spacer 2, and large subunit ribosomal RNA". The stretch from base 1 to 120 matches the Rfam family "5.8S ribosomal RNA", at positions 35 to 154 of the family's 154-position model. The record is from RNAcentral.
GAUGAAGAACGCAGCGAAAUGCGAUACGUAGUGUGAAUUGCAGAAUUCAGUGAAUCAUCGAAUCUUUGAAUGCACAUUGCACCUCUCGGUAUUCCGGGAGGUAUGCCUGUUCGAGCGUCAUUUGUACCCUCAAGCUCUGCUUGGUGUUGGGUGUUUGUUCCGCCUCUGUGUGUGAACUCGCCUCAAAACAAUUGGCAGCCGGCGUACUUGUUUCGGAGCGCAGCACAUUUUGCGAUCCAGAUCAACGUACAGCGGCAUCCAAGAAGCCUUAUUUAACGCUCUUGACCUCGGAUCAGGUAGGGAUACCCGCUGAACUUAAGCAUAUCAAUAAGCGGAGGA